RNAcentral lists this ribosomal RNA (252 nucleotides) under uncultured bacterium. RNAcentral describes it as "partial 16S ribosomal RNA". It matches the Rfam family "Bacterial small subunit ribosomal RNA", at positions 524 to 776 of the family's 1533-position model. The record is from RNAcentral.
UACGUAGGUCCCGAGCGUUGUCCGGAUUUAUUGGGCGUAAAGCGAGCGCAGGUGGUUUAUUAAGUCUGGUGUAAAAGGCAGUGGCUCAACCAUUGUAUGCAUUGGAAACUGGUAGACUUGAGUGCAGGAGAGGAAAGUGGAAUUCCAUGUGUAGCGGUGAAAUGCGUAGAUAUAUGGAGGAACACCGGUGGCGAAAGCGGCUCUCUGACCUGUAACUGACACUGAGGCUCGAAAGCGUGGGGAGCAAACAGG